Molecule: long non-coding RNA, 853 nt
Organism: Oncorhynchus nerka (sockeye salmon)
Lineage: Eukaryota; Metazoa; Chordata; Actinopteri; Salmoniformes; Salmonidae
Exons: 3
Source: RefSeq, a predicted model, not a curated record
CGCGUUUUCGCCGCGGAAGCCAUUCUGAAACGCCGCGUUCGCAAGUCUCGCCUAGAAUACCUAGUGAAAUGGAAAGGAUGGGCACUGAAACACAGUACCUGGGAACCAGAAGAGAAUAUCCUGGAUGACAGACUGAUCGCAGGAUUUGAACAGAAGUGAGUGGAACAGUUAACCGUAUUUCAAUUCUUACACAUUAUUCAAUUCCUUUAAGAGAAGUGAUGUUUAUGACACAGUAAGAACAUUUGAGAAAUUGUCAAAAAGGGUAACACAAUUCUCUCUCCUGUUCUCUCUCAUCCCAACAUCAGUUUUCCUGUUCUCCCUCAUUUUCCCAGCCCCCCCCCCUCUCUCUCUCUCUCUCUCUCUCUGUUGCGCUCUCUCUUUCUCUCUCUCUCUCUGUUGCGCUCUCUCUCUCUCUGUUGCUCCCUCUGUUGCUCUCUCUCUCUCUCCUUGCUCCCUCUGUUGCGCUCUCUCUCCCUCUCUUUCACUCUGUCUAUAUAUAAAGGUCUUAUAUCUGUGCAAGUCCUCUCUUUGUCUCUUCCUGCCAAACACACUUCAAAGCACUCUGCUGCUUACAGGGGGAUCAUGGAACUAAAAUGAUCCCGUGUGUGUGUCUCUCUUUUCUCUCUGUUCAGUCUUAGUCAAACAAACGUCAAACUGUUAUUCUUAAGUUUUUUCUUCAUUCAGAUCCCUAUGAGCUGACGCCAUAGCAACCAACCGCUAGCUAGUCGUCCUGGGGACAUUUACAUUACAUUUACAUUACAUUUAAGUCAUUUAGCAGACGCUCUUAUCCAGAGCGACUUACAAAUUGGUGCAUUCACCUUAUGACCUCCAGUGGAACAGUAGUGCAUCUAAA